Molecule: ribosomal RNA, 254 nt
Filed under: uncultured bacterium
Lineage: Bacteria
Description: partial 16S ribosomal RNA
Rfam family: Bacterial small subunit ribosomal RNA
Source: RNAcentral
UACGGAGGGUGCAAGCGUUAUCCGGAUUCACUGGGUUUAAAGGGUGCGUAGGUGGGCAGUUAAGUCAGUGGUGAAAUCUCCGGGCUUAACCCGGAAACUGCCAUUGAUACUAUCUGUCUUGAAUACCGUGGAGGUGAGCGGAAUAUGUCAUGUAGCGGUGAAAUGCUUAGAUAUGACAUAGAACACCAAUUGCGAAGGCAGCUCACUACACGUGUUAUUGACACUGAGGCACGAAAGCGUGGGGAUCAAACAGG